Magallana angulata is the source of this 379-nucleotide long non-coding RNA. RefSeq lists it as uncharacterized. The transcript is spliced from 3 exons. The record is from RefSeq and is a predicted model, not a curated record. NCBI's taxonomy places the organism in Eukaryota, Metazoa, Mollusca, Bivalvia, Ostreida, Ostreidae.
AUUAUUCGUUUUAAACUAUCCCAAGAUGCACUUUUCCAAGAUUUAGCGGGUUCUGAUUGGUCAGUAUUGGCGCACUUUAUGAUUCCGAGCGAAGGUUAAAAUGGACAAGAAGGUGCUGUUGUAAAAUGGAGAAUUGAGAAGCAUUAAUAGCCUCUACAACAAGGACAUAAUGCAGGAACGAAGAACUCAUGUCAAGCAUUGACAGCAUACAAAGUCAAUGUUUCCGGUGAUUAGUUGCAUCCUCUGUUCGGUGAUUCGGGUGAAUGUUUUGACCAGCUGGACGAUGUUAACGCAAGAUAAAUAGAACAGACAUAAAGUACAACCCAGUGAAAGGAACAAGUUCAUCGUGUAAUGAUGGUGUUAUUGUAGAUAAAGACAA